GUCGAACGGAUUAUUCUUUAUAGCUUGCUAUAAAGAAUAGUUAGUGGCAGACGGGUGAGUAAUGCAUAGGAAUCUACCUAGUAGUAUGGGAUAGCCACUAGAAAUGGUGGGUAAUACUGUAUAAUCCCUGCGGGGGAAAGAUUUAUCGCUAUUAGAUGAGCCUAUGUUAGAUUAGCUAGUUGGUAGGGUAAAGGCCUACCAAGGCGAUGAUCUAUAGCUGGUCUGAGAGGAUGAUCAGCCACACUGGAACUGAGAUACGGUCCAGACUCCUACGGGAGGCAGCAGUGGGGAAUAUUGGACAAUGGGCGCAAGCCUGAUCCAGCUAUGCCGCGUGAGUGAGGAA
This 343-nucleotide ribosomal RNA is filed under the name Anaplasma phagocytophilum. Its description in RNAcentral is "bacterial SSU rRNA". It matches the Rfam family "Bacterial small subunit ribosomal RNA", at positions 61 to 412 of the family's 1533-position model. Lineage: Bacteria; Pseudomonadati; Pseudomonadota; Alphaproteobacteria; Rickettsiales; Anaplasmataceae. The record is from RNAcentral.